UUCGAGCAUGUCUCCCUUCUCGGAAGCUCCCUCGACCCCACGAACCUUGACCUCAAUCGGGGAGACUACCCGCUGAACUUGGAAAAA
This 87-nucleotide ribosomal RNA is filed under the name uncultured Lactarius. Its description in RNAcentral is "partial 28S ribosomal RNA". Lineage: Eukaryota; Fungi; Basidiomycota; Agaricomycetes; Russulales; Russulaceae. The record is from RNAcentral.